UUUUUAAGGGGUCGAUUUCAAAAGAGCUGCCCUCAAAGCACUUUGAACACGACCGCCGGUGCUCGGAAGGCGUCCCCACGUCCGAGACCACGGCGUGGAGCCACCGCUUCAGGAGGGCUUCGUUUCGGAGAGGGAAACCAUGGAAAGCGAUGGCGCUGUCCUCGCAGCCCCCGCUGGUGGCCUUCGGGCGACUCAGUGCCGAGCAAUAAACCAUCGCGAAGGCAGAGAUGGGAGCAGCUCGAAAAUAACGCGCCAGCAGGAGGGCGGAGGAGCGCCCAGCGCAGCUUUCGUUCCAAGCAGGCCCCAAUUCUCUGCGAAAAUCACGGACUUCAGAGCCGGGAAGAGCCGCGUCCGCGGGCCGCAGCCCCGCAGCACUCCGCUUCGCCGCUUCAGAGCAACGGAAACUCACCUGAAAGGGAAAAACCUUUUAAGCCAGCUUCAAGGAGCCGCGAGCACGCGGCUGUGCGCCGAGCGGACCUCCUGCAGCGUCGCGCCCUUCGCUCAGCGGCGCUUCCGAGAGGAACCGCGCACGCUCCGCCACAAAGCUCGCUCAGGGGCGCCGACAAAGGGCCAGAGCCGGAGAUCCCGCCCCCAGCCCGAUGUUUCGGGCGCCGCUGGGUCUCGUCCCGGCGCUGCGGGAUCGCGGCGGCCCUCAGCAGGGCUGUGCGAAGGCCGGCCGGCCCGACCCCGCUCACCGCCACCACGGCGCCGCCAUCUUGCUGCGCACCGCCCCCAUCGACCCGGUACGAGCCAAUCAGAACGCUCGGUGUGCGAAGCGCCACCCCGCCUCCCCUCGCCAUUGGCCUGCAGCUGCUUUGCCCCGCCCUCCCGCGCGCCGCACGACUAGAGCCAAUCAACGCGGGCACGUGCGGCACGGCCUCCCAGGGUUGGCCAAUGGCGAAAGCGGAGGGUUUUGAUUGGAGGAGGAGCGAGCGUGACACCACAGGAAGGAAGCGCCCACAGCCGGCUCGUUGCCAUAACAACCGCGGCGCGGCGCCGGCCGGCCAUGGGAGCCGAGAACCCGGUUCUGAUUCGGCCUCAGCUUCUGCAUUUCCGCCCUGCGAGGCUCAGCGCCACCGGGAGCCACGAGAAGCUUCUUUAUUAUCAAAAGGAACGCGACGUCGCGGCGCAUCCGACCCAGCACGCCCCUCCCCCCCUGAAAACACAGCAACGCAACGCCUCGGGGAGGACGUUCUACAAACGUUCACGCUGCCUGUUAGCAGGACUCAGAAAGUUGCACAAAACCCCCCCAGAGCUGCGACAGCACGGCAAAGCACGACGGAGAAGCGCCUGAAGGCUGCCCAGAAGGCACAGCUGCUGUGGGGUCACACGAGAACUGCCAGCACCACCACAGCAGCGGAACGCAGCCCUGCUCAGAGCUCACAGGGCUCCCUGUGCUCAGUACAGGAUAUUGAAGUCUCUUACGGAUCCGUUCCCAGGCUCUGA
This 1446-nucleotide long non-coding RNA is filed under the name Phasianus colchicus (ring-necked pheasant). RNAcentral describes it as "lncRNA (ENSPCLG00000015438.1)". The record is from RNAcentral. Lineage: Eukaryota; Metazoa; Chordata; Aves; Galliformes; Phasianidae.